CAGUAGCCGCGGGAAAACGAAGGGGGCUAGCGUUGUUCGGAAUUACUGGGCGUAAAGCGCACGUAGGCGGAUAUUUAAGUCAGGGGUGAAAUCCCAGAGCUCAACUCUGGAACUGCCUUUGAUACUGGGUAUCUUGAGUAUGGAAGAGGUGAGUGGAAUUCCGAGUGUAGAGGUGAAAUUCGUAGAUAUUCGGAGGAACACCAGUGGCGAAGGCGGCUCACUGGUCCAUUACUGACGCUGAGGUGCGAAAGCGUGGGGAGCAAACAGGAUUAGAUACCCGAGUAGUCCCUGUCUCUUAUAC
Molecule: ribosomal RNA, 301 nt
Filed under: uncultured bacterium
Lineage: Bacteria
Description: partial 16S ribosomal RNA
Rfam family: Bacterial small subunit ribosomal RNA
Source: RNAcentral